GUCUACGGCCAUGCCAUCCUGAAUGUGCCCGAUCUCGUCUGAUCUCAGAAGCUAAGCAGGGUCGGGGCUGGUUAGUACUCGGAUGGGAGACCACCUAGGAAGACCAGGUGCUCUAGGCA
This 119-nucleotide ribosomal RNA is filed under the name Pteropus alecto (black flying fox). The record is from RNAcentral. Lineage: Eukaryota; Metazoa; Chordata; Mammalia; Chiroptera; Pteropodidae.